This is a small nuclear RNA of Orcinus orca (killer whale), 104 nucleotides long. The record is from RefSeq and is a predicted model, not a curated record. Lineage: Eukaryota; Metazoa; Chordata; Mammalia; Artiodactyla; Delphinidae.
GUGUUCACUUCAGGAGCACACAUACUAAAAUUGGAAUGAUUCAGAGAUUAGCAUGACCCCUGUGCAAGGACGACAUGAAAAUUCAUGAAAUAUUCCUUUUUUUU